UUAAGCAUAUCAAUAAGCGGAGGAAAAGAAACUAACAAGGAUUCCCCUAGUAACGGCGAGUGAAGCGGGAAGAGCUCAAAUUUGAAAUCUGGCGGUCUCACGGCCGUCCGAGUUGUAGUCUAGAGAGGCGUCAUCCGCGGCGGACCACGUACAAGUCCUUUGGGAUGCGGCGUCAUAGAGGGUGAGAAUCCCGUCCAUGACGUGGACUACCGUCGCUUUGCGUUGCGCCUUCGAAGAGUCGAGUUGUUUGGGAAUGCAGCUCAAAACGGGUGGUAAAUUCCAUCUAAAGCUAAAUACGGGCGAGAGACCGAUAGCGAACAAGUACCGUGAGGGAAAGAUGAAAAGAACUUUGGAAAGAGAGUUAAACAGUACGUGAAAUUGCUGAAAGGGAAACGCUUGAAGUCAGUCGCGUCUCCGGGGAUUCAGCUCGGCUUCUGUCGGGUGCAUUUCCUCUGGAGACGGGCCAGCGUCAGUUUCGGGCGUCGAAAAAUGGCGGGAGGAAUGUGGCACCUUUGGGUGUGUUAUAGCCUCCCGUCGGACGCGACGCCUGGGACUGAGGACCGCUUUAUAGGAUGCUGGCGNAAUGGCUUUAAACGACCCGUCUUGAAAACACGGA
RNAcentral lists this ribosomal RNA (616 nucleotides) under Basidiodendron glaucum. RNAcentral's name for it is "partial large subunit ribosomal RNA". It matches the Rfam family "Eukaryotic large subunit ribosomal RNA", at positions 34 to 665 of the family's 3401-position model. Lineage: Eukaryota; Fungi; Basidiomycota; Agaricomycetes; Auriculariales; Exidiaceae. The record is from RNAcentral.